Molecule: non-coding RNA, 929 nt
Organism: Salvelinus sp. IW2-2015
Lineage: Eukaryota; Metazoa; Chordata; Actinopteri; Salmoniformes; Salmonidae
Source: RefSeq, a predicted model, not a curated record
UCAGCUAAGCAAAAGUGGGGUUGUGAUGGUGGUGCAAAUGAGGAUGUGUUCAACCCUCAGUUCCGAAGCUUUUUUACUCAGUUUUGUUGUAUUUAAAAGAGUGCUUUGUAGCCUUGUCUCAAGUUUAACCACCAGGAUCGGAUCCAUUCAUUUCUUCCUUUGGACAACACAUCUCAGUUGGUCUCCGCUGUUUCUUCAUGGCCUUUCUCAGCUGGAGAUCUGUUGGCUGAUUGGAUUGUCUGACUGACCGACUGACCGACUGACUACAACUUACUUGCAUACGAUGGAUACCGUUCCCCUACCCGCGGUGUUGGUUGAGGCUGCAUUGGGAGGAGGAUGCAUCAACAACCUGGAAAUAUAAGCAAUCCGUUACAAUGCAAGAAGACAGAUUAAGGCCUUCAAUCAGACUGAGGACAGAGAAAUAUGGUGCACCUGGUCAAGUGCAUGCAUUCAACAAGCUUUGGACGAAGGACUUCCACACUUCCGCUAUCUCCAAAGUUCACUCAAAAAGGCAAUAGUUCUGAACUUAGUUUGAUUCAGUUUUUGUUAUCUAAAAUAUUUUUUUUUUAUAAUUAUCUUUUAAAAUUCCAUUGGUUAAAAGCUAUUGCUCAGUCAUCACUUGGCUCAUGUAAAUUCUGUAGUUGCUCCAUUAAACAUCCUAAGGUCAACAUCCCCAAUGUGUUCACAUUUCUCUCAUGUAAAUGUUAUUUGGGAAAUAUUCAGUCUUUACUUUUUCUUUCAUUAGCAUGCUGAUGAUUUCAAGUUGUAUUGAUUUAUUUUUACCUGUUUAGACAUCGAACACAUGUUGUUUAGUAUAUUUAGUAUGUUUAGUUCUGUUUUCUCUGUGAGAAGCAAGUUCAUUUAAAGUUAUAUGUGAUUUGGUUUACGUAGAUACAACAUGUCAAUGGCAAUACAAAAUUCAAAAGGCA